This is a long non-coding RNA of Ornithorhynchus anatinus (platypus), 638 nucleotides long. RefSeq lists it as uncharacterized. Lineage: Eukaryota; Metazoa; Chordata; Mammalia; Monotremata; Ornithorhynchidae. The transcript is spliced from 3 exons. The record is from RefSeq and is a predicted model, not a curated record.
GUUCAGCACAGCGCUCGGCACAUGGGAGGUCCUGAAGAAAUACCGCAGAUCGAGCGAUCAAUCCAUCCAUUAAUUGACUGAAAGAGCAGGGGAGAAGGGGAAGGAACCCUCCUGAUAAAAAAAACCCAUCGUGUCCCCGAGAGUCGGGAAAGACGAAGCAGGCCGGCGAACAACAGGUUUCGUUCCGAUGUCGGAGGGCUAAUUCUCUCGGAAAACAAGCCCGCAAAUCAAAUGUCUCUUUGAAUUAAUACGAAUCCCUCCCCGGCAAUUUGGGGCCGUCGUAAUUUCGCGUCGAUGCGACUCAUUACGCCGGUUUUAAAAAUUAAACCCCGGCCAAAAGAUAACAUAAAAAAAAUAACGAUCAGCUGAAGGAAUCCAAGUCGUCGAUAGUGCCUGUGAAAUUCCAGGAAUCCGAGCGCGGCCUAAGAACCUGAGAGCCGGCGGACCCGGGUUCCAAUCGCAAUCCCGCCGCUUACCCGUUGGGUGACCUCGGAUCUGCAAAUCUGGGUCCCCUAAAGAGUCGAGAGAGCGCAGGACGAACCCAAAUCAACCCUCGGAUUCCAACGGUUCGGCAAAAGCCCUGACGGUGCUUAAUUAGGAGACAAAUCCCAACAUCUACUACCUGCCUGCUGUGUGAC